Long non-coding RNA from Hirundo rustica (Barn swallow), 777 nucleotides. RefSeq lists it as uncharacterized. The record is from RefSeq and is a predicted model, not a curated record. The transcript has 3 exons. Lineage: Eukaryota; Metazoa; Chordata; Aves; Passeriformes; Hirundinidae.
AUGGGAAAGGCUUUUCCCGCCUCCGGGGCCCCUCAGGCGGAUGGCGGCGGCCGGGAGAGGAGGAGGCUGCGCGGGCAGCCCAGAGUUCUUCUAGGAUGUGACCAUGGAGUGCCCGUCGCUGCCAGUGACCUCCUGGCUCCUCAGAAGCCCCAGAGAGCCGUGCGAUGUCACCGUGGAAGCCCUGAGAGUUCAGGCUUGGACACCUUUGGAAUGACGCUGUAGAUCCUGUGAGUGCCUGUGACAUCACGGCUGCUCAGGAGCAUGGAAACUUCAGGAACCCCUGUGAGUGCCUGUGACAUCACGGCUGCUUAGGAGCCUGGAACUUCAGGAACCACUGUGAGUGCCCUGUGACAUCGCGGCUGCUUAGGAGCAUGGAGAUUUCAGGAACCCCUGUGAGUGGCCUGUGACAUACACGGAUGCUCAGGAGCAUGGAAACUUCAGGAACCCCUGUGAGGCCUGUGCACAUCACGGCUGCUCAGGAGCAUGGAGACUUCAGGAACCCCUGUGAGUGCCUGUGACAUCACGGCUGCUCAGGGAGCAUGGAAACUUCAGGAAACCUGUGAGUGCCUGUGACAUCGCGGCUGCUCAGGAGCAUGGAAACUUCAGGAACCCCUGUGAGUGCCUGUGACAUCACGGCUGCUCAGGAGCAUGGAAACUCAGGAACCCUGUGAGUGCCUGUGACAUCACGGCUUUGCUCAGGAGCAUGGAAACUUCAGGACCCCUGUGAGUGCCUGUGACAUCACGGCUGCUCAGGAGCAUGGAAACUUCAGGAACCCC